This 501-nucleotide ribosomal RNA is filed under the name Lacconectus punctipennis. RNAcentral's name for it is "SSU rRNA". It matches the Rfam family "Eukaryotic small subunit ribosomal RNA", at positions 96 to 568 of the family's 1831-position model. The record is from RNAcentral. Lineage: Eukaryota; Metazoa; Arthropoda; Insecta; Coleoptera; Dytiscidae.
GCUCAUUAAAUCAGUUAUGGUUCCUUAGAUCGUACCCACAUUACUUGGAUAACUGUGGUAAUUUAGAGCUAAUACAUGCAAACAGAGUUCCGACCGGAGACGGGAGGAAUGCUUUUAUUAGAUCAAAACCAAUCGGCGGCGUGCGCGUUCGCGCGCCCGUUCGCCGCUCAACCUGGUGACUCUGAAUAACUUUAGGCUGAUCGCACGGUCCAGCACCGGCGACGCAUCUUUCAAAUGUCUGCCUUAUCAACUGUCGAUGGUAGGUUCUGCGCCUACCAUGGUCGUAACGGGUAACGGGGAAUCAGGGUUCGAUUCCGGAGAGGGAGCCUGAGAAACGGCUACCACAUCCAAGGAAGGCAGCAGGCGCGCAAAUUACCCACUCCCGGCACGGGGAGGUAGUGACGAAAAAUAACGAUACGGGACUCAUCCGAGGCCCCGUAAUCGGAAUGAGUACACUUUAAAUCCUUUAACGAGGAUCAAUUGGAGGGCAAGUCUGGUGCC